CCGAUGCCUGUGAUGGUGUUAAAUAUACUUUGCAGAUUAACUUCUAUGAAAAAACCUUCAAAUCUGAGGCAACAGGCUUUUGGAUCUUUAUAUUCUACACGGUUUUCUCUCUUUUGUUUCUUGCUCAGAUCUGGGCUUUGAUUGUUUGUUACAAUGAUUCAAAUUGUUUGUGUUUUUGGAUUGCAAGUGAUGAGAAAACAGACAGGGACAUCUGCACUCCACGGAGAUUGAUGACUUGUUCUAAUGGGAAUCUCUCUGAUGCUUUGAUUUACUCUAAUUUCUUGUGUUCUCUCUUGAUUUUUUUUUCAUUUCAAUUUUCACCGUUUAAUGCUUACCCAAAAGUUGCAAGCUUCUUUCAGAAUUAAUCCAAAAUUUUGAGCCUUUAUCAGUUUAUGAAUGCCUUUAACCCCAAUGGGGACUUUUCUGAUGCAGAGGCUUUGCGGUUUUAAUGGUUUUCUCUUUGCCGAUGAUGUAUUUAUGCACGUAUUAUCAGAUAUCAAAGUGUGAUGAUAUAUGUCAUUGUUGUCACUACCUCUGAGGCA
RNAcentral lists this long non-coding RNA (542 nucleotides) under Rosa chinensis. Lineage: Eukaryota; Viridiplantae; Streptophyta; Magnoliopsida; Rosales; Rosaceae. The record is from RNAcentral.